This 1456-nucleotide ribosomal RNA is filed under the name Listeria booriae. RNAcentral's name for it is "partial 23S ribosomal RNA". It matches the Rfam family "Bacterial large subunit ribosomal RNA", at positions 1 to 1450 of the family's 2925-position model. The record is from RNAcentral. Lineage: Bacteria; Bacillati; Bacillota; Bacilli; Caryophanales; Listeriaceae.
AUGGUUAAGUUAGAAAGGGCGCACGGUGGAUGCCUUGGCACUAGGAGCCGAAGAAGGACGGGACUAACACCGAUAUGCUUUGGGGAGCUGUACGUAAGCGUUGAUCCAGAGAUUUCCGAAUGGGGGAACCCACUAUCUUUAGUCGGAUAGUAUCCUUACGUGAAUACAUAGCGUAAGGAAGGCAGACCCAGGGAACUGAAACAUCUAAGUACCUGGAGGAAGAGAAAGAAAAAUCGAUUUCCUGAGUAGCGGCGAGCGAAACGGAAAGAGCCCAAACCAAGAAGCUUGCUUCUUGGGGUUGUAGGACACUCUAUACGGAGUUACAAAGGAAUGUGGUAAACGAAGUGGUCUGGAAAGGCCCGCCAAAGAAGGUAACAGCCCUGUAAUUGAAAGCAUAUUCCCUCCAGAGUGGAUCCUGAGUACGGCGGAACACGUGAAAUUCCGUCGGAAUCCGGGAGGACCAUCUCCCAAGGCUAAAUACUCCCUAGUGACCGAUAGUGAACCAGUACCGUGAGGGAAAGGUGAAAAGCACCCCGGAAGGGGAGUGAAACAGUUCCUGAAACCGUGUGCCUACAAGUAGUUAGAGCCCGUUAAUGGGUGAUAGCGUGCCUUUUGUAGAAUGAACCGGCGAGUUACGAUUUGUUGCAAGGUUAAGCGGAAAAAGCGGAGCCGUAGCGAAAGCGAGUCUGAAUAGGGCGCAUGAGUAACAGGUCGUAGACCCGAAACCAGGUGAUCUACCCAUGUCCAGGAUGAAGGUGAGGUAAUACUCACUGGAGGUCCGAACCCACGCACGUUGAAAAGUGCGGGGAUGAGGUGUGGGUAGCGGAGAAAUUCCAAUCGAACCUGGAGAUAGCUGGUUCUCUCCGAAAUAGCUUUAGGGCUAGCCUCGAGGUAAAGAGUCGUGGAGGUAGAGCACUGUUUGGACUAGGGGCCCUUCUCGGGUUACCGAAUUCAGAUAAACUCCGAAUGCCAUGUACUUAUACUCGGGAGUCAGACUGCGAGUGAUAAGAUCCGUAGUCGAAAGGGAAACAGCCCAGACCACCAGUUAAGGUCCCAAAAUAUAUGUUAAGUGGAAAAGGAUGUGGGGUUGCAUAGACAACCAGGAUGUUGGCUUAGAAGCAGCCACCAUUGAAAGAGUGCGUAAUAGCUCACUGGUCGAGUGACCCCGCGCCGAAAAUGUACCGGGGCUAAACAUAUUACCGAAACUGUGGAUGAACCUCUUUGGAGGUUCGUGGUAGGAGAGCGUUCUAAGGGCGGUGAAGUCAGACCGGAAGGACUGGUGGAGCGCUUAGAAGUGAGAAUGCCGGUAUGAGUAGCGAAAGAAGGGUGAGAAUCCCUUCCACCGAAUAUCUAAGGUUUCCUGAGGAAGGCUCGUCCGCUCAGGGUUAGUCGGGACCUAAGCUGAGGCCGAUAGGCGUAGGCGAUGGACAACAGGUAGAUAUUCCUGUACCAGUGC